CUGCACUAGUCGGGGAGAUAGCGGUGCCUUGUAACCUGCAAUCCGCUAUAGCAGGGAUGAACUCCUGAGCGAGGGCGUUUUUUGUUCUGCCUGCCCUUUGAGCGCAGUGUUGAGAGAACGGUCUUGCGCAAUGAAAAACCGUGAACCAUGUCAGGCGGGGAACCGAGCAGCAUUAAGCGGUCCUUUUUGUGUGCCGCAAGCCUGCCGUUUUUGAGCCAGCGGCAGAGGUUAACGGGAAGAGGAAAUGUUCGAAAUCAGGUGUGCAG
This 266-nucleotide signal recognition particle RNA is filed under the name Oscillospiraceae bacterium. RNAcentral describes it as "signal recognition particle sRNA large type". It matches the Rfam family "Bacterial large signal recognition particle RNA". Rfam says of the family: The signal recognition particle (SRP) is a universally conserved ribonucleoprotein involved in the co-translational targeting of proteins to membranes. Archaeal SRP consists of a 7S RNA and homologues of the eukaryotic SRP19 and SRP54 proteins. The record is from RNAcentral. Lineage: Bacteria; Bacillati; Bacillota; Clostridia; Eubacteriales; Oscillospiraceae.